This 377-nucleotide unclassified non-coding RNA is filed under the name uncultured Actinomycetes bacterium. RNAcentral's name for it is "uncultured actinobacterium contains 16S-23S intergenic spacer region". The record is from RNAcentral. Lineage: Bacteria; Bacillati; Actinomycetota; Actinomycetes.
UCCGUGUUGACCACGGCGGUCUCCUACGAGUCCCCGGCAUUACCCGCUGGCAACAUAGGACAAGGGUUGCGCUCGUUGCGCUACUUAAGGCAACACCUCACGGCACGAGCUGACGACAGCCAUGCGGCACCUGUGCAGGCUCCCGAAGGAGCACCGGCUUUCACCGGCUUCACCCUGCAUGUCAAGUCCAGGUAAGGUUCUUCGCGUUGCGUCGAAUUAAGCCACAUGCUCCGCCGCUUGUGCGGGCCCCCGUCAAUUCCUUUGAGUUUUAGCCUUGCGGCCGUACUCCCCAGGCGGGGUGCUUAAUGCGUUAGCUUCGGCACGGAUGGAGUCGACACCACCCACACCUAGCACCCAUCGUUUACGGCGUGGACUAC